RNAcentral lists this ribosomal RNA (441 nucleotides) under uncultured bacterium. RNAcentral's name for it is "partial 16S ribosomal RNA". It matches the Rfam family "Bacterial small subunit ribosomal RNA", at positions 338 to 795 of the family's 1533-position model. The record is from RNAcentral.
CCUACGGGGGGCAGCAGUGGGGGAUAUUGCACAAUGGGGGGAACCCUGAUGCAGCGACGCCGCGUGUGGGAAGACGGUCCUCUGGAUUGUAAACCACUGUCCCCAGGGACGAUAAUGACGGUAUCUAACGAAUAAGCACCGGCUAACUCCGUGCCAGCAGCCGCGGUAAUACGGAGGGUGCAAGCGUUACUCGGAAUCACUGGGCGUAAAGAGCGCGUAGGCGGGAUAGCAAGUCAGAUGUGAAAUCCUAUGGCUUAACCAUAGAACUGCAUUUGAAACUGUUAUUCUAGAGUAUGGGAGAGGUAGGUGGAAUUCUUGGUGUAGGGGUAAAAUCCGUAGAGAUCAAGAGGAAUACUCAUUGCGAAGGCGACCUGCUAGAACAUAACUGACGCUGAUGCGCGAAAGCGUGGGGAGCAAACAGGAUUAGAUACCCGAGUAGUC